Molecule: non-coding RNA, 72 nt
Organism: Ictidomys tridecemlineatus (thirteen-lined ground squirrel)
Lineage: Eukaryota; Metazoa; Chordata; Mammalia; Rodentia; Sciuridae
Source: Rfam
GGGGUUGUGGCUCAGUGGUAGAGUGCUCACCUGGAGUGUGCGAAGCCCUGGGUUCCAUCCUCAGCAACACAU